Panicum virgatum (switchgrass) is the source of this 456-nucleotide long non-coding RNA. RefSeq lists it as uncharacterized. NCBI's taxonomy places the organism in Eukaryota, Viridiplantae, Streptophyta, Magnoliopsida, Poales, Poaceae. The record is from RefSeq and is a predicted model, not a curated record. The transcript is spliced from 2 exons.
CGCGAAGCUCGCUUUCCUUUGAUGAAGAUGACUUGGAGGAUGUCGGUGUUUUGAUGCCAACACUCUUCAGGAAAUGGUGUGAGCUGUUCUGGGAGAGCACCUUGGACACGACCUGCACACUGGAUGGUGGCGUCUCACCUUCAGCAACAGGCCUUUUUUGGAGCUGGUAUGGCAGGUCUCGAAGGCCUCCAUGACAUCUAAUUCUUCAGUGAGAUCUAAGCUGGGUUCUUCUCUGUUUCUCUUCUGUUUCUGUGUCAUGGAUAAACAAUCAGAGCAUAGUGGUCAGAUCAAAUGCAAGAGAAGUUGUUCAGUGCAAAUGUGGAUGUAUUAGUACAAGGUAUUUUUGACUUACAUAUGCAUGUAAGGUUGCCACAUAGCAGCGAGAACCUGUAGUCUGAUGAUACUUCACUUCACUGCGGUUCCGCUUGUUCGUUGCACAUGUUUGCUACAAGAUAA